This 28-nucleotide transfer RNA is filed under the name Aplodontia rufa pacifica. Its description in RNAcentral is "tRNA-Glu". The record is from RNAcentral. Lineage: Eukaryota; Metazoa; Chordata; Mammalia; Rodentia; Aplodontiidae.
CCAUCGUUGUUGUUUCAACUAUAAAAAC